This 253-nucleotide ribosomal RNA is filed under the name uncultured bacterium. RNAcentral describes it as "partial 16S ribosomal RNA". It matches the Rfam family "Bacterial small subunit ribosomal RNA", at positions 524 to 776 of the family's 1533-position model. The record is from RNAcentral.
GACGAACCGUGCGAACGUUGUUCGGAUUCACUGGGCUUAAAGGGCGCGUAGGCGGGCCGCCAAGUCUGUGGUGAAAGCCCCCGGCUCAACCGGGGAAGUGCCGCGGAUACUGGCGGUCUCGAGGGGUGUAGGGGCAUGCGGAACUUCCGGUGGAGCGGUGAAAUGCGUAGAUAUCGGAAGGAACGCCGGUGGCGAAAGCGGCGUGCUGGACACCUACUGACGCUGAGGCGCGAAAGCCAGGGGAGCAAACGGG